ACUCCUACGGGAGGCAGCAGUAGGGAAUCUUCCACAAUGGGCGCAAGCCUGAUGGAGCAACACCGCGUGAGUGAAGAAGGGUUUCGGCUCGUAAAGCUCUGUUGUUAAAAGAAGAACACGUAUGAGAGUAACUGUUCAUACGUUGACGGUAUUUAACCAGAAAGUCACGGCUAACUACGUGCCAGCAGCCGCGGUAAUACGUAGGUGGCAAGCGUUAUCCGGAUUUAUUGGGCGUAAAGAGAGUGCAGGCGGUUUUCUAAGUCUGAUGUGAAAGCCUUCGGCUUAACCGGAGAAGUGCAUCGGAAACUGGAUAACUUGAGUGCAGAAGAGGGUAGUGGAACUCCAUGUGUAGCGGUGGAAUGCGUAGAUAUAUGGAAGAACACCAGUGGCGAAGGCGGCUACCUGGUCUGCAAACUGACGCUGAGACUCGAAAGCAUGGGUAGCGAACAGGAUUAGAUACCCUGGUAGGAUAGCG
RNAcentral lists this ribosomal RNA (475 nucleotides) under uncultured bacterium. RNAcentral's name for it is "bacterial SSU rRNA". It matches the Rfam family "Bacterial small subunit ribosomal RNA", at positions 335 to 801 of the family's 1533-position model. The record is from RNAcentral.